Molecule: ribosomal RNA, 414 nt
Filed under: uncultured microorganism
Description: bacterial SSU rRNA
Rfam family: Archaeal small subunit ribosomal RNA
Source: RNAcentral
CAGCCGCCGCGGUAAUACCGGCGGCCCGAGUGGCGGUCACUCUUAUUGGGCUUAAAGCGUCCGUAGCCGGGUUGGGAAGUCCUCCGGGAAAUCUGGCCGCUUAACGGUCAGAAUGCCGGAGGAUACUCCCAGCCUAGGGAGCGGGAGAGGCCGAGGGUAUUCCCGGAGUAGGGGUGGAAUCCUAUAAUCCCGGGAGGACCACCGGUGGCGAAGGCGCUCGGCUGGAACGCGUCCGACGGUGAGGGACGAAGGCCAGGGGAGCAAACCGGAUUAGAUACCCGGGUAGUCCUGGCUGUAAACGAUGCGGACUUUGUGUCGGACAAGCUAUGAGCUUGUCCGGUGCCGGAGGGAAACCGUUAAGUCCGCCGCCUGGGGAGUACGGCCGCAAGGCUGAAACUUAAAGGAAUUGGCGGG